This 60-nucleotide transfer RNA is filed under the name Heterosigma akashiwo. The record is from RNAcentral. Lineage: Eukaryota; Raphidophyceae; Chattonellales; Chattonellaceae.
UUUCAGUUGGCAGAGCGCUCGACUCGCAUGCGUGAGGUCAUCGGUACGAGUCCCUGCUUU